Molecule: ribosomal RNA, 487 nt
Filed under: uncultured bacterium
Lineage: Bacteria
Description: SSU rRNA
Rfam family: Bacterial small subunit ribosomal RNA
Source: RNAcentral
AGGGUGAACGCUGGCGGCGCGCCUCAUACAUGCAAGUCGAGCGAGAGCUCUUCUCCCGUAAGGGAGGGGAGUUUCUAGCGGCAAACGGGUGAGUAACACGUGGGCAACCUACCCUAUCGUGGGGAAUAACUCCGGGAAACCGGGGCUAAUGCCGCAUGUGGUCACCGAAGGCAUCUUCGGUGAAGAAAGCAGCAAUGCGCGAUAGGAUGGGCCCGCGACCUAUCAGCUAGUUGGUGGGGUAACGGCCUACCAAGGCGAUGACGGGUAGCUGGUCUGAGAGGAUGAUCAGUCACAUGGGGACUGAGACACGGCCCCGACUCCUACGGGAGGCAGCAGUAAGGAAUCUUCCGCAAUGGGCGAAAGCCUGACGGAGCGACGCCGCGUGUGGGAUGAAGUCUUUAGGGAUGUAAACCACUGUCGGAGGGGAAGAUACAAGACGGUACCCUCCAAGGAGCCCCGGCUAACUACGCGCCAGCAGCCGCGGUAA